Molecule: ribosomal RNA, 379 nt
Filed under: Oscillochloris sp.
Lineage: Bacteria; Bacillati; Chloroflexota; Chloroflexia; Chloroflexales; Oscillochloridaceae
Description: bacterial SSU rRNA
Rfam family: Bacterial small subunit ribosomal RNA
Source: RNAcentral
CACGCAGAGUUUGAUCCUGGCUCAGGACGAACGCUGGCGGCGUGCCUAAUGCAUGCAAGUCGGACGCAGCGUGCUUGCACGGCUGCGUGGCGCACGGCUGAGGAACACGUGGGUAAUCAACCCCGGUGUGGGGGAUACCCCGGAGAAAUCCGGGACAAUCCCGCAUACGCUCUGUGGAGGAAAGCCUUCGGGCGCACUGGGACGAGCCUGCGGCCCAUCAGGUGGUUGGGGGGGUAACGGCCUCCCAAGCCGAUGACGGGUUCCUGGUCUGAGAGGACGACCAGGCAGACUGGGACUGAGACACGGCCCAGACUCCUACGGGAGGCAGCAGCAAGGAAUUUUCCCCAAUGGGCGCCAGCCUGAGGGAGCAACGCCGCGU